Ostrea edulis (European flat oyster) is the source of this 623-nucleotide long non-coding RNA. RefSeq lists it as uncharacterized. The record is from RefSeq and is a predicted model, not a curated record. The transcript is spliced from 2 exons. Lineage: Eukaryota; Metazoa; Mollusca; Bivalvia; Ostreida; Ostreidae.
UAGUUCUCAGGUGACUGAUUAGGCCUGUGGGCCUCUUGUCUAAAAAUGUAUCCAUGGUACAUGCAUGUUGAUGACGAACAUUGUUAUUACAUGAGAGUUCAAUUUCAGAAGUACAGCUGAACUGGAAGGAUUCCAUCAGCACAUUCUGAUGUACUGUUCAAAACGACACGCCUAUACCCCACCAGUCUAUCGUGCCUGGCAGCACUGGAUCACAAUAUGAACUCAGACCGUCCAGUGCAGAAAAACAAAGAUGGAAAAAUAAGGUACCAUCGUGUAUUUAAUAAAAAAAAAAGUGGGAGAUGGACAGUGUAUGCCAUGAGAGAAAGGAAAAAAUAUAAGUAUAUGUCAUCUCUAUUGUGCGAUGCUGUAAAAUUGAGGAUUAAUGACAGAGUGGACAUGAAAAAAACUGUGUUGGCACCAGAUGAUGCCAGAUAAAUUGCAAAACAUCUGGCACCUGUAGAACCACCUUCAACUGAAAAACUUGUGUUGCAGCAGAAAUCACGAUUUUGAACUGCCACGGAAAUUAAAUGUGAAUUUUAUAUUGUAAAGAAAUGUGAAAUUAUACUUAGUAUAGUACAUGUAUUGCAGCAAUAUCUAAUUGAAAUUAUAUCAUGUAAAAUCUA